Merluccius polli (Benguela hake) is the source of this 77-nucleotide non-coding RNA. Lineage: Eukaryota; Metazoa; Chordata; Actinopteri; Gadiformes; Merlucciidae. The record is from the annotation of a GenBank genome assembly.
GUGGGGAUAGUCUAGUGGUGGUAAGGGUGUUUGAGUCCCAGUCAAAAGGUACUGGGUUCCAGCCCCCAGACGCCGCA